Arabis alpina (gray rockcress) is the source of this 93-nucleotide non-coding RNA. The record is from Rfam. NCBI's taxonomy places the organism in Eukaryota, Viridiplantae, Streptophyta, Magnoliopsida, Brassicales, Brassicaceae.
AGGCAAUGAUGUGUUAGUCGUGCACCACUCUGAUAUAGAUCCUUCUAGGAUCCUGUGCUGAGAAUUCUCUCUACCCAUUAUUUCUCUGAGCCU